CCUACGGGUGGCAGCAGUGGGGAAUAUUGGACAAUGGGCGAAAGCCUGAUCCAGCCAUGCCGCGUGUGUGAAGAAGGCCUUCGGGUUGUAAAGCACUUUCAGUGGGGAAGAAAGCCUUGGGGCUAAUACCCUCGAGGAAGGACAUCACCCACAGAAGAAGCACCGGCUAACUCCGUGCCAGCAGCCGCGGUAAUACGGGAGGGUGCGAGCGUUAAUCGGAAUUACUGGGCGUAAAGCGCGCGUAGGCGGUCUGAUAAGCCGGUUGUGAAAGCCCCGGGCUCAACCUGGGAACGGCAUCCGGAACUGUCAGGCUAGAGUGCAGGAGAGGAAGGUAGAAUUCCCGGUGUAGCAGUGAAAUGCGUAGAGAUCGGGAGGAAUACCAGUGGCGAAGGCGGCCUUCUGGACUGACACUGACGCUGAGGUGCGAAAGCGUGGGUAGCAAACAGGAUUAGAUACCCCAGUAGUC
Molecule: ribosomal RNA, 466 nt
Filed under: Vreelandella stevensii
Lineage: Bacteria; Pseudomonadati; Pseudomonadota; Gammaproteobacteria; Oceanospirillales; Halomonadaceae
Description: partial 16S ribosomal RNA
Rfam family: Bacterial small subunit ribosomal RNA
Source: RNAcentral